Vicugna pacos (alpaca) is the source of this 283-nucleotide non-coding RNA. The record is from RefSeq and is a predicted model, not a curated record. Lineage: Eukaryota; Metazoa; Chordata; Mammalia; Artiodactyla; Camelidae.
UGGAUAUAAGAGCUCCACCUUAAAACUGGGGAAGUCAAGAAUAAUAAACAAGCAUUUAGACAAAGAUGUACUGGGUUUUUCUUGUGAAGGACUGGCUUCUUGGUGCCAUGUUAAUUAAUGUAGUUUAAUGGACACUGGAGAUUAACCAAAGAGGACUGAUAAAGGUCUACCUCACAGACAAUACGGGGGAUUAAAGCUUAGUCUAAACAUCCACAUACUCUGAUUUCUUUAUAUGCCUGUGGUCUACAGACAUAAAAUAAAACAAAGAGAUUAGAAGAGCACA